CACGUAGGGUGCGAGCGUUGUCCGGAAUUAUUGGGCGUAAAGAGCUCGUAGGCGGUGUGUCGCGUCGGCCGUGAAAACUUGCAGCUUAACUGUAGGCGUGCGGUCGAUACGGGCAUCACUGGAGUUCGGCAGGGGAGACUGGAAUUCCUGGUGUAGCGGUGAAAUGCGCAGAUAUCAGGAGGAACACCGGUGGCGAAGGCGGGUCUCUGGGCCGAUACUGACGCUGAGGUGCGAAAGCGUGGGGAGCAAACAGG
Molecule: ribosomal RNA, 254 nt
Filed under: uncultured bacterium
Lineage: Bacteria
Description: partial 16S ribosomal RNA
Rfam family: Bacterial small subunit ribosomal RNA
Source: RNAcentral